Molecule: non-coding RNA, 2506 nt
Organism: Cinara cedri
Lineage: Eukaryota; Metazoa; Arthropoda; Insecta; Hemiptera; Aphididae
Source: the annotation of a GenBank genome assembly
CGAAUAUCGUAAUAUUCGUAUAGUAUAGGUAGUUGUGCCGUGUUUACUGGAAUAAUAUUGUGAUGUAUGAUGUAUGGUGUACCAAUAUAAUACCCAAUAUAGUGUUUGUGUAUACAGACUAUACAUCAGCGUUAUAUUAUUAUAAUAUUUUCAUCGUCGUCGUCGUGAAUAUAUAUAUUAAAUGUACACACUAUGGCAGAGGCCAGAGACGUAAAUGCGAUACUCGUUUUUUUAAUAAGACAUUUCACGGUAAUGAAUAUAUAAUAUACAUAUUAUUUUAUUAAUUUCAUAACGUUUCAGACGUUUAUCGUCCCGUGUCGGCUAUGUUUUAAAUAUUCCUCAACCGUUGCACGACUGUUCUGCUGCUCUUCUGCUGGUCCAUCAACACUAGCUAAUAGAGGAAUAGGCAACAACAUAAAAUUCUUCCAAAAUCUUAUUGGCGGUUCGGCUGGUGCUCCAUCGCUCCUUUGCCUCAUCAAAUGUCGAGUUCCUCGACGUCAAACUCGCUAUAUUCCUCAGUUUACUCAGUUACCUAAACGCUCUAAUUACAGUCAAAAUAAUUCUAUCGACUGUAUAAUGAGACCAGAAAACACUCACCCUUCCUUCCAUUUUAAAAAAAUACAAGUUUUAUUGCGCAUACGCACACUGAGAGGAUAAGAAAUUUUAAAAUCCAUACAAAAUGUGUAUUUCAGUAUUUCCUAUCUUCUCUUGAAAACCCCAUUUCAAUCCAAGAUCACUGAACAAAAAUAUUUCAUGUUACCAUUUGAGUGAAACACACUGCAUAAGCACAAAUCACUGAUUACCUUAUCUGUUUUCAGGUCCAGUUCAAGACGUACCUAGGCUUAGGUUUUUUUACAGACUAUUGUCCAACUUUUGUGUCACUAGAUAACAGCUUUUAUGCCAAACGAACACCAAAACAGUGUGGAGGUGGUGUUUUUGCUGAACGCCCACACGUAAAACAAAAUUAUAUUCCACAAUAGGUAGUUCUGUAUUAAGAAUUUGUAUGUGAAUGAUAACAUCAAUGCAGUAUGGAGAUAGUGCGGAAAAUGGUGCACCACAGUACCACACAUAGUAGUCGUUAAUGAUGUUUUCGUUUUGGGUGGAUUGUGGUCAUUUUUGAAAUAUUUGCAUAACCGCAUUUUUUUUAAAAAUUUUUUUGUACGAGGAAACUCGUAUAGGUACCUACGCCACGCCAUCGCCAUGGCGCAUCAAUGCGUCACUGUCACACUGCAUUAAUAUUACGGUUUCGUACCACAUUAUGUAUAGUUAUUGGUGUGUGCACCUAGUCCUAAAAUUGACACAAAUAGUCGUAAGUAUAUAGGAACAAGUAACUAUAAGUCUAUAGCACAUUUACUUUUUCAUAUAAUUCCAGAAGUACCUAUUCUUUUUAAAAUUUGAAGACACAUGCUCACCACAUCAUAUUAAUGUUAGCUCCUCCAAUCACGAAAAACUAAACACGCCCGUGUUAGGUAUUUGGUAUUAAUACAUUAUUUUUAUAAUCAUUAGGAAGUCAAUGAAUUCACGUAUAUUAUCAUUAAUUUUCUCUUAAACUGAAAAUUUCGUUUCCAAGUUUGUAAAGAAAACAUCAAAUAAUGUAUUCACGGAUGGAUAAAAUUAUCGCCACCACUAUUUUUCCAUCUGUCUUUCGAGGAAAGUUAAAGCUCCAUUUAUAUUCGUACCAAUCAUAAUUUUUAAUACGACCAUAAUAUAUUCGUAUGUCUAUCAAUAAAAAUAUAUAAUUAAUAUAUGAUUUGUAUACAAAUAUGGAAUUAUAUAGUUUUCGAUUUCGGGAUUACUACAGAUUGCUUAUUUUAGUAGAAAACUUUAGAUAUGUCUAGUAUAUGAUCUAAGUAGAAAACCAACAACCAACCAUUUUUGUAUCUUUUAUUAAUAAUUGAUAAAUAAAAAAUUUGACGAUAAUAGUAUAACGGUAAUCUCGUAUUAAAAAAAAUAUAUAUGUAUGUAAAAAAACUAAGAAGUUGUACGUUUUCCAAAUUUAAAAUUAAAUUAUACCGUUGAAUUUUUAUCACAGUAUAUCUAUCUAAUCUAAAUUUCCAAGUUCGAACGUUUACAAUCCCCCUGGCUCUGAGUGACCAUUAUAUAUUUUAUAUAUUAUUGGCUGUGAAUUAAAAGUUAUUAAAUCUUGAUGUACGCACAUUUGUUUUAGAAUAUUGUGUCUUCCUUUUAAUUUAUUUCCAAUUCGAACGUUAUAUACCUACUAUGAUAUUAUUGUAAUCGAUUAGUUAUAGAUGUAUAGCAGGGACUAAAAUCGUGUGUGUAGUACGACACACUUUGUGUAAUACGAAAUUUUAGAUACGCAGUACGAAAUUAAAAAGUGUGUAGCCGCUAUAAUAUGAUAUUUAUUUGUAUUAGAUUUUAAUUUUACUUUUUUUUGCACUUUGAACAAAUUAUUUAAUUGAUUUAUUAAUUAAUUUAUUUAUUUAAUUAUUUUUAGAGAAAAAAAUUCUGAAAUGUACCUUUGUUAAAAUUUUAAAUAGUAGCAAGU